AGUGAACGCUGGCGGUAGGCCUAACACAUGCAAGUCGAACGGCAGCACAGUAUGAGCUUGCUCUUACGGGUGGCGAGUGGCGGACGGGUGAGGAAUACAUCGGAAUCUACUUUUUCGUGGGGGAUAACGUAGGGAAACUUACGCUAAUACCGCAUACGACCUACGGGUGAAAGCAGGGGAUCUUCGGACCUUGCGCGAUUGAAUGAGCCGAUGUCGGAUUAGCUAGUUGGCGGGGUAAAGGCCCACCAAGGCGACGAUCCGUAGCUGGUCUGAGAGGAUGAUCAGCCACACUGGAACUGAGACACGGUCCAAACUCCUACGGGAGGCAGCAGUGGGGAAUAUUGGACAAUGGGCGCAAGCCUGAUCCAGCCAUACCGCGUGGGUGAAGAAGGCCUUCGGGUUGUAAAGCCCUUUUGUUGGGAAAGAAAAGCAGCAGGUUAAUACCCCGCUGUUCUGACGGUACCCAAAGAAUAAGCACCGGCUAACUUCGUG
RNAcentral lists this ribosomal RNA (492 nucleotides) under uncultured bacterium. Its description in RNAcentral is "partial 16S ribosomal RNA". It matches the Rfam family "Bacterial small subunit ribosomal RNA", at positions 29 to 507 of the family's 1533-position model. The record is from RNAcentral.